CUAGGCACGCCUCCCAGCUGCAGGCAUGGAAAGGUCCAGAGUUUGACGGUCAACCUAUGUCAAGAUUUUUAUGGCUUGUUUCUCACAGGCUGGGCCAGAUGCCAAUGUGACACCCUUUGAUGUGACUGUGCAGAGUAAUAACCUGCUGUGUGACAACAGCAAUGGUGCAGGGAUGCGUGAUAAACAUCUUGUCUUUCCAAAGCAGUUGACCUGAUGGAGACAUCUUGAGCGGUAUAUGUGCUGCAAUGCUUCAAAGUUUACCCUUUAGAGUUUUUUUACCCUGAAAAAAAGACACAUGUCCAAGAUGGGGGUAACCCAACUUGAAUUCAUCCAAAUCCAAAGUUUCUGUAUGUAUCAAGCCCUAAUUUUGCCUGUGAGGUUCAGAAGUGUCAGGAAUUAUGUGGUGCAAAAAUUAUCGAUUUUGAUAAAAGUUGGCUGGUGUGAUAGGACACAGAUCGCCAUUACAACUUCCGUUUUUCGGUAGGGUUGUUACGAUUGUAGUUUUGUGUAUUUUAGGUUUAAAGUCUUUUUUUGCACCCAGGCGGCCAUGUUUGGUGUACAGGUGCAUGCUUGGUAUUAAAAUGCUGAAAACUGUCUAAACUUUGAGGAGGUAUGAGCUUUAUUGAUGAAAGUUUGAAAUUCUGGUCGAGAGGACACAAGGUGUGAGGUAGUGAUGAGGCUGCGAGUGACGUCCCCUUGGCGUUACUAGGCACGCCCCCCAGCUACAGGCAUGGAAAGGUCCAGAUUUUGACGGUUAACCUAUGUCAAGAUUUUUAUGGCUUGUUUCUCACAGGCUGGGCCAGGUAUGCACCAAAGCUUAUUGGCUACGGAAUGUUUGGGACUGAGCUACAGCGCUAGACGUUAACAUUGUCGCUUAUGGAAAAUUAAUGUGGGUCUGAGGCCUACUACCAUCUAGGAGGGACACAAUCAGUUCUAUUCAAGGGGUAUAACUCUCAAUAAACAUGAUUUCUUUGCAUUCGAUAGGGGUUACCCCCCUUCAAUCGCAUCUGCUCUUUAACUUAACAAACGCCUUGAAUUAAGUCGAAUUCGAUCACUCAAGCUUCACUGAAUGGACCCUAUUAAAACGUAUUCAUUUAAAAGUAUGCCUGUUUAUUCGUUUUGCAUUUUCAAUAUCAUAGAAUUAUUUGGAUUCAAACCCAAACGCUUUUUAAGGGUUAUGCAUACAACAUAUAUACAUGCAUGGGUCUAAAUUUUCGCCUUUAAUAUCACUGUUAAACCCAUUUCUACCCCCAGUCCGGACUGUCGUACUUAUUCAAGCCCGAACGCAAAUGUAUGGAUAACCAACAUCUGUUUUUACAUCUCGGUCGUCGUAUUUUUGAAGAUUAAUUGGAUAACUUGAUAACUUAUUUUAUUUGAUUUAACAGGCUCACAGCAUUUUGUUCUGAUUUCUCAAAUCUGGAAGACGGCUUCGACCGCCUUAGCGGAUAUGCAUUGAGAUACACAAAAUUGUUCUUCGUCCAUUUGUUCGAAAGUGUAUCAGCUAAUACUGGUAUUGAGUCAUUUUUACAUUUAAGAUUUUAGCCAAAUUCCUGUGCAGUUGUCAAAGUAUAAAAGCAGAAGAUUUAGUUCCUGUUUAAUAUAUUGUGACCCAAUCAUUUUUGAGCUAAGUAUAUUAAAUGGAAGAUUUGACUUAAUAUUAAAUGUGGUAUUAAUUCUUUUAAUUUAUAACUGUAUCCGAUAUAAUGCAAUAUAUAGCAGUUGUGUGUUUUGUUUAUACAUGUGUGGGAAUUUACCAUGAAUUGGCAAUGGCGCUUACCGAGAGGACUAAACUCGCCCUUUAUGUGUAUUAUCGCCAGUAUAAUGACUUAAAUCCUGCAAAUGUGUCGUUAAACUUUAACCAUUCAACCGUUUAAUUCGUUCAUUCACUACAUAUAUUCCGAACAAAACCAUUGAACAUUCCAUUAGGGAAUGCCAGGUGUAUUAUAGUGUUUUUUCCCCUCCGUAAUAUACGAUGUGUUUUCUCAAAGUUCACAGAUCCACAGGAGAGUUAAUUUGGAUGUUAAAAACUCUGAAAACUAUUCUCUUUGCGGAUGUUUCCUAGGUUGUCUAUGAGUAUCAUUACCUACAGUGCGCCAUUGAUGUAGGCACGCCGACAACUAAUGGGCCAAUUUUCAUCAAACGCGGGCUGGGAAUUUCAAGAGAUAUUUCUUUGCAGAGAUCUCUACAAUCAGACAUAAAUAAGCCUAUCACGUCUAAAGAUUCCUUAUUGGUAUGCCAGGAUAACGUUUUCUUGAAAUGAAAGGAUGGUGGAAUGUGGUCUGUAGGCGUAAUGUAAACAUGUCGAAGCACAGUCUUUACCACAAUGUCUUCUUAGAGUGGAGAUACGGUAUGCUUGGUGUGCAGGUGUACUCCAAGCAUGUCAAAGCACAUUGCUUAGUUGAAUGUCUUCCGGUAUAAUGGGAGCGUGGAAUGGUUGGGUCGGUCGGCGUAUACGCCAAAACAUUUCCAAGUACAUUCCGUACUUUACACAUAAAACCAUUACAAUGACUUUAUAGAACAAUAGUACAACAUUGGAACUACUUUGUUCGGGUGAUAAACGAAGAGCACGUGUCCACAUAUACACGCUAUGUCUCUUAAAUGAAGAACAUGUAGACUAUUUUUUAUACACUACUUCAGACUCGCAAUAGUGCACGUGCUCCUUGAUAAUGAUGAUGAAGUCAGGUCAUUUUCACAUUUCAAAUAUUACACGGUCAUGAUGAUCGAAAGUGCGUGUAACUGGAACGCCAUAUUAAAGACACGGGAAAUAGUAUACCGACACCCAACUGAACAUUGAAAUGAUUGAUUUAUUUAGUUGUUGCUUUAACGCCAUAAUUAUACCAAAAAAUUCUCACCAAAACAGCUGUUGGCUCUGUGGUUGGAGGAAACCCGAGUGUACAGAGUAAACCAUCGACUUUUGGCGAGGUGCUGGGAACUCUUCCACGUGUGACAUACGUCAUAUCGAUGGCAGGCAAGACCACCCUAAUGCACAAUCGAUCGACAUACCGGUGUUGCCCCGAGAGCCACUGAAGCUGGAGAAACUACACUAUUCCUUAUUCCAAUGUGACAAAUAUCCUGCCUAGCAAUAGUUACGAAAUAGGACUUUAUACCAAAUACUUUUACCUCCUAUACACUUCAAAGAGUCAAUCAUGAAAAUUCCAAAAUGUAGCUAUCACAGAAAUAAAUGCGACCACUGAAAGUCUUAAACUGAAAAGAUGCGGGUACUAUCCAAUUUUAGCCACUUGUACAGUGUGUCUUGAAUGGUUUUGUAUUUGGUAUGUCUUGUACCAGCAUACACUAUCAUGCAGCAUUUAAUAAUCUGUAAGUUCUUUCUUCUUUCUUAAUAGAAUUCACAAUAAAUCUCCUGAAUUAUACAUUUCCUGAAUUACCAUAUGGAGAGGGUGGUUAAGAGAUAUAAUCUGUGAGAGUGGACGUUUCAGAGAGAAAGCAUUUCUGCACCAUGGAAACCUCAGCGUAAAGCUGAAUAUUAUGAAUAAAAUUUGUCCAACAAAUGUUGAAUAUUACAACCAGUUUCUACAAGGAGCACGUGGCUAUGUGAAUGUGGCUUUGGAAGGGAGAGAUUUGUUAAGAAACCCCAAGGGAAGAAUUAUCUCAGAAUAAAAGCACUGAUUAUGGAUCCAAAAUAAAGUGCUUCAGCGAAUAUCAGACCUUAUGUAAACUUUUAGGUUGACUGGUUGCAAAAAUCGAUACGUAGAGUAACCGAUAACCCAGUAAUCAAGAGCACCGCUGAUGUACGGGGGCAAGACAGACAGGGGUGUCGUCCUGAGGAAUUGUGUACAGCGAUGAUUACCCUACUCUGAGUUUUGUUACUGAAGAGAAUAUUUUUCACCAAGACUGGUAUCUAGACUUACAAAUCCUUGCCUGCAGAGUUUCACUGUCAAAUAUAUUGCUCUUAAGGAAAAUUUAAACAUACUUCCCACGCAGGAAAACUGUUCAUACAGUUCAAUAUCAGAUUUAUUGUCAGUUGUUUCUUGUUUUCUAUGAAACUACUUUGGAAGGUAGAUAAAGGAUCUGCCACUUUUUAAAAAAAAAUAUACUAGUUUGGCGUAAAUAAUCAAACCCGAUCUCAGUUAACUCUAAGGAUUUGUCUAACACAUUGGAGGGUAAAAAAGAUCGUAAUGUCACGGGAAGUAAUACUAAUAACAGGGACAAACACAUGGUUACCAGGGACCUUUUAUUCCAAACUCUAUUAUUUUAACGGUACGUUAAAUGCUUACAUCCCGCUAUCCUUUCAACGGGCUGUUAGUUAACGGACCGUUAAAUUCCUGUUGCUGGAAACCAAAAAGUUCCCUCCUUUAACUAACGGCUCUGUUAAAAUUUAACUCCAAGUUAUCACUAAAUAAUUUCCCACAAUUCGUUGGUAUAAAUCCCACGAUGCUUUGCACCUGGGCAACAACAUGGCUGCCAUAUCAGAAGGUGAACCGAUUGCGACCCCCCCACUCCCAUCCCCAAAUAAAAAUAAACAAGAGAUGAGGAAAAUAUUAUUCAGUCAGUGGUGAAGACCUAUUCAGAAACAGUUAACGCCAAACUCUGCAAUGACGUUACUAACAGGCAAAACGCAGCAGUUUGGCAAAAAAUCACUGACAGUGUCAAUAUGAAGGUAACAAAUGACAGGCACUCUCUUUCUCCCACAGAGUUGCUUUGACAGUUACCAACGCUGAUGCUACCACUGGAGGCUAUCUAUGUUGAUGCUCUAGGCAAAUUGCAAUGUAAAACCAUUUUUUCGCCCUAAUAAGAAAUCCAAGGAAUUUAAUGUCAGGAAACCGUCCUAAACUGCAUAUUAAGGAAUAGAAUUCAAACGUUUUAUUUCUCCUGUAAAUACAAGGUAUAAACAGAGAUGCUCACAUUUCCCUUAAGCCCUAGUUAUAUUAAGGGGAAUGGGGCAUGCUUAUAUGAUACUGAAUGUAAGGUACCCUGAAAGUAUCGAUUUUAUCUAUCAAUUAGCUGCUCACAAAAUUAAAAAAAAAAGCUGAGAUAGUAGGCAAAUUACAGAGUAUCGUUGUUAAAAUAUAUGGUUUCUUCUUUAAACAGAUGUGUCGAAGGAUGAAGUCAUUCUUGGUUCGUAGGAUAUCACAAGGGUAACGAGAUGUAAUUUGAAUUCCAUAUGCCAUCACAAAGUUUUUUGAAAAUAUUUUGUCAUAAUAACUUGAGCUCAUGGCAAUGCAGAGGAAUGUGAUUUAUGACGUUGUUUGAAAAUGAUUCUUAUUUUCUGAGAACAGGUGAUUUGUAGUGUCAACACUGAAAUUACCCCUUUAGUCCUUCAGGCUACAAUUAGAUAAUCUAUAUAUUGCCUAUUAGGUUGGUUGACAAAUAAUUCUGUAAUUAGUAAAUCUGAAA
This is a long non-coding RNA of Liolophura sinensis, 5355 nucleotides long. RefSeq lists it as uncharacterized. The transcript is spliced from 3 exons. The record is from RefSeq and is a predicted model, not a curated record. Lineage: Eukaryota; Metazoa; Mollusca; Polyplacophora; Chitonida; Chitonidae.